Molecule: ribosomal RNA, 390 nt
Filed under: Cryptosporidium meleagridis
Lineage: Eukaryota; Apicomplexa; Conoidasida; Eucoccidiorida; Cryptosporidiidae
Description: SSU rRNA
Rfam family: Eukaryotic small subunit ribosomal RNA
Source: RNAcentral
AGGGAGCCUGAGAAACGGCUACCACAUCUAAGGAAGGCAGCAGGCGCGCAAAUUACCCAAUCCUAAUACAGGGAGGUAGUGACAAGAAAUAACAAUACAGGACUUUUUGGUUUUGUAAUUGGAAUGAGUUAAGUAUAAACCCCUUUACAAGUAUCAAUUGGAGGGCAAGUCUGGUGCCAGCAGCCGCGGUAAUUCCAGCUCCAAUAGCGUAUAUUAAAGUUGUUGCAGUUAAAAAGCUCGUAGUUGGAUUUCUGUUAAUAAUUUAUAUAUAAUAUUUGAUUAAUAUUUAUAUAAUAUUAACAUAAUUCAUAUUACUAAAUUUAUUAGUAUAUGAAAUUUUACUUUGAGAAAAUUAGAGUGCUUAAAGCAGGCAUAUGCCUUGAAUACUCC